CCUACGGGAGGCAGCAGUGAGGAAUAUUGGUCAAUGGGCGCUAGCCUGAACCAGCCAAGUAGCGUGAAGGAUGACUGCUUUAUGGGUUGUAAACUUCUUUAAUAUGGGAAUAAAGUGCAGUAUGUAUACUGCUUUGCAUGUACCUUAUGAAUAAGGAUCGGCUAACUCCGUGCCAGCAGCCGCGGUAAUACGGAGGAUCCGAGCGUUAUCCGGAUUUAUUGGGUGUAAAGGGAGCGUAGGCGGGUUGUUAAGUCAGUUGUGAAAGUUUGCGGCUCAACCGUAAAAUUGCAGUUGAUACUGGCGUCCUUGAGUGCAGUAGAGGUAAGCGGAAUUCGUGGUGUAGCGGUGAAAUGCUUAGAUAUCACGAAGAACUCCGGUUGCGAAGGCAGCCUACUGGACUGUAACUGACGCUGAUGCUCGAAAGUGUGGGUAUCAAACAGGAUUAGAUACCCUUGUAGUC
This 460-nucleotide ribosomal RNA is filed under the name uncultured bacterium. RNAcentral's name for it is "partial 16S ribosomal RNA". It matches the Rfam family "Bacterial small subunit ribosomal RNA", at positions 338 to 795 of the family's 1533-position model. The record is from RNAcentral.